Genlisea aurea is the source of this 161-nucleotide non-coding RNA. Lineage: Eukaryota; Viridiplantae; Streptophyta; Magnoliopsida; Lamiales; Lentibulariaceae. The record is from Rfam.
UCACUUACCUGGACGGGGUCUAUGAGCGAUCAAUAAGGCUCAUGGCCUAGAAUAGUGACCUUCAUUGCACUUGGAAGGGGCGCUAGUCUAUGGUCGACUCAUGUAGUCGAGCCAACGUCAUAAUUUGUGUCAGAGGGGGCCUGCGUACGCGCGGCCCCUAC